This 1705-nucleotide long non-coding RNA is filed under the name Rattus norvegicus (Norway rat). RNAcentral's name for it is "long non-coding RNA NONRATT013286". The record is from RNAcentral. Lineage: Eukaryota; Metazoa; Chordata; Mammalia; Rodentia; Muridae.
GAGUAGAUGUAAUCUCACUAGUUAGAGAUCUGUCUAUUUAGAUUCCUAAUUCUUCAUGAAUCAAAUUUGGUGGGUUUUCUAUUUUGUCUAUUACCUAAUGGUUAUAUUGAUUUGGUAUAGUUUAUAGUGCUUUGUGCUUUUCAUUCUUGGAAAAUUGGCCAUGAUGUCCCCAACCCUUUUAAAGAUACAUCACUAUGUGUAUAGUCACUUGUGUGCAGGUGUGUGCACAUAUAUGUGUGGGGGGGUGAAGUUAAGGCCUCAUCUUUUAUCUCUAUUUAUUGAAUCAGUCUCCCAGUUGAAUACCAAACUCCUAACUGGCUAGUUAUAUUGCCCUAGGGAUCCCCCAUCUCUGCCUCUUAAAAGUCCUGGGAUAUAGAGACCCACCACUGUAUGUAGCCUUUUCUCUUUUUGGGUGGGUUUCUGGGGAUCUGAGCUCUAGUGUCCUGCUUGCAUAGGAAGCACUUUAUCUACUGAGCCAUCUCCCUAGCCCAUUGUCACAUUUUGAUUUUCUUUUUCUCCCUUUCUUACCUAGCCAGUCUACCUAAGGUUUAUCAGUUUUGAGAUUUGAAAGACAAAGUCUUUGGGUUUGGGGUUUGUUUGUGGUUUUGGUUCUUUUAUUAUGUGUGUUUUUCUCUUUCCCUCUGCUCUAAUCUGUCUACUUGUCCUUGUCCUUGUUCCUUGAAGAAUAAGGUUAGACUGUUGAGGACCGUGUCAUUUGAGGACCAUGCUGCAUUGCUGUGAGUCUGAGCACUGCUUUUGUCACAUCACAAUACUUCUGCUAUUUUGUGUUUUCAUUUGUUUCAGCAAGUGUUCCAAUUUUUCUGGUGACUUUUUCUUUCAACCAUUAGUUAUUUUAAAAUGUCCUAUUUAUUUUACACAUAUUUGUGGGUUUGUAAUUUCCCUUAAUGUGUUAGGGCUCUUUGUGGCUCUAAUGUAUCCCCAAAAGUGUUCUAUGUAUAUUUGAGAAAAAUGUAUAUUCUGCUUGUUGGGUAUGUGUUCUGUAUAUGUUAUGAUGUCCAAAUAGUAAGUAUGUGGUAGUGUUCAAGUGUUCUUUCCCUUGUUGGUCUGCCUUACUUCUAUCUGUAACCCUAGAACAGUCUUAUUCCCUAGUUCUGUCAGUAUUCCCUUCGUAUGCCUAUCUCACCUGUGUGCCACUUCCCUCUUUGAGUGACUCGUGUUAUGGGACAUGUUUUUCAUUCUACUUUAGUGUAUAUAGUUCUAAAGUGAGUCUGUAUACAAUAUAUAGUUGAUCCUUAGGUUUUAAAUGUAUUCUUCUAAGCUGUAUCUUCUAUUAGGGCAUUAAAUCCAUUGAGAAAGUGACUACUGUAACUAUUAAAGGAAAGGGCUCACUGUUGCCAUUUUGUUUUCUAUGUCUUACAGUUUUUGGUCCUUCAUUUCUUCUUUUAGGGUUUAUUUGCAUCUGGUUGAUAUUUAUAGUGGUUUGUGUGAUUUACUUUAAUUUCUUUUUGUGCAUAUUGUUCAUGUGGCUUUUAAUGCAGCUUACAUGGAACAUCCUAAAGUUUCAAUAAUCUUAUCUAAUAAUUUCAAUCACAUACAAAACUUCUCUUUUUAGCUGUAUCCUCCUUUCUUACAUUAUCAAUGUCACAAAUACCAUAUGUGUGUCCAAUAACAAGUUUAUAACUUUUUAUGCUUUUCUAUUUUAAAUACUGUUGAAUAAAAAACAGUUGUGAACCAAAAUUACACU